This 397-nucleotide ribosomal RNA is filed under the name uncultured bacterium. RNAcentral describes it as "bacterial SSU rRNA". It matches the Rfam family "Bacterial small subunit ribosomal RNA", at positions 521 to 916 of the family's 1533-position model. The record is from RNAcentral.
UAAAACGUAGGAGGCGAGCGUUAUCCGGAUUUACUGGGCGUAAAGCGUGUGCAGGCGGUUUGGUGAGUUGGAUGUGAAAGCUCCUGGCUUAACUGGGAGAGGUCGUUCAAUACUGCCAGACUUGAGGAUGGGAGAGGAAGGUGGAAUUCCGAGUGUAGUGGUGAAAUGCGUAGAUAUUCGGAGGAACACCAGUGGCGAAAGCGGCCUUCUGGCCCAUCUCUGACGCUCAUACACGAAAGCUAGGGUAGCAAACGGGAUUAGAGACCCCGGUAGUCCUAGCUGUAAACGAUGUGGACUUGGCGUCGGCGGGUUUAAAUCCGUCGGUGCCGGAGCUAACGCGUUAAGUCCACCGCCUGGGGACUACGGCCGCAAGGUUAAAACUCAAAUGAAUUGACGG